CCCCCGGUCGGUGCCGCGGCACGGGGCAAGCGGGGCCGUGUCCGUGCGCUGCCUCAGGGCUCCCGUGUGGGAGCCAGCUGCCUCCUGCUCGGCAUGGCAGAGCCGGCAGCAUCGAGCACCGGUGGCCGAACGGGUGAGCAGAGGAAAAUCAAGCCCCAGGAAACCCUCUCUGAACAUCAGCACCUGUUACCGGACCUGCCUCAGCACAGAAAUUAAGGGUAGAAUACACACACAGAUGAACCAGUCUUUCUGCAGAUGCGAGUGAGCCAAUUAAUGAUUUACAGUGUUUUGAAGGAAACCAUCAGCAUCCAGAGUGCAGACAACAGCAGGAGAACAAAGAGCUCACAUUCAAUUGAGGAUCCUUCAGGAAGUUGUGAGUGUUGACAUAGUCAGUUAAGGUGUUGUUAUGAGCACUUCUUUUAAACGUGGAAAGCAGAGCAUUAGUAACAGUAUGAAGUUUCUUUAUUCUUUUGUCUGAGCUCCAGAGUUACAUAUGCUAAAAGAACUUGUAAAUUAAAAGGUACACAUUGUAUACAAAUUAAUAAAAAUACAGCCCUAACUUACA
This is a long non-coding RNA of Corvus hawaiiensis (hawaiian crow), 565 nucleotides long. RefSeq lists it as uncharacterized. NCBI's taxonomy places the organism in Eukaryota, Metazoa, Chordata, Aves, Passeriformes, Corvidae. The record is from RefSeq and is a predicted model, not a curated record. The transcript has 3 exons.